AUACGGAGGGUGCAAGCGUUAAUCGGAAUUACUGGGCGUAAAGCGUGCGUAGGUGGUUUGUUAAGUUAGAUGUGAAAGCCCCGGGCUCAACCUGGGAACUGCAUUUGAAACUGGCAUACUAGAGUAUAGGAGAGGGAAGUGGAAUUUCAGGUGUAGCGGUGAAAUGCGUAGAUAUCUGAAGGAACAUCAAUGGCGAAGGCAGCUUUCUGGACUAAUUCUGACACUGAGGUACGAAAGCGUGGGUAGCAAACAGGAUUAGAAACCCUAGUAGUCC
Molecule: ribosomal RNA, 274 nt
Filed under: uncultured bacterium
Lineage: Bacteria
Description: partial 16S ribosomal RNA
Rfam family: Bacterial small subunit ribosomal RNA
Source: RNAcentral